RNAcentral lists this ribosomal RNA (559 nucleotides) under Debaryomyces sp. W8Y20. RNAcentral describes it as "eukaryotic LSU rRNA". It matches the Rfam family "Eukaryotic large subunit ribosomal RNA", at positions 47 to 611 of the family's 3401-position model. Lineage: Eukaryota; Fungi; Ascomycota; Pichiomycetes; Serinales; Debaryomycetaceae. The record is from RNAcentral.
AAAGCUGAGGAAAAGAAACCAACAGGGAUUGCCUUAGUAACGGCGAGUGAAGCGGCAAAAGCUCAAAUUUGAAAUCUGGCACCUUCGGUGUCCGAGUUGUAAUUUGAAGAAGGUAACUUUGGAGUUGGCUCUUGUCUAUGUUCCUUGGAACAGGACGUCACAGAGGGUGAGAAUCCCGUGCGAUGAGAUGCCCAAUUCUAUGUAAAGUGCUUUCGAAGAGUCGAGUUGUUUGGGAAUGCAGCUCUAAGUGGGUGGUAAAUUCCAUCUAAAGCUAAAUAUUGGCGAGAGACCGAUAGCGAACAAGUACAGUGAUGGAAAGAUGAAAAGAACUUUGAAAAGAGAGUGAAAAAGUACGUGAAAUUGUUGAAAGGGAAGGGCUUGAGAUCAGACUUGGUAUUUUGCGAUCCUUUCCUUCUUGGUUGGGUUCCUCGCAGCUUACUGGGCCAGCAUCGGUUUGGAUGGUAGGAUAAUGACUAAGGAAUGUGGCUCUACUUCGGUGGAGUGUUAUAGCCUUGGUUGAUACUGCCUGUCUAGACCGAGGACUGCGUCUUGACUAGGA